CUGCAGUCAAUGAGGGCUACUAGGUGCCUUUGCUGGUGGGUGCCCAGCAUACAGUGGCUGCGAACAGCAAUUCCUCAGUGGUGCACAGAGCCUAGAACUUGUAUGUACAGCCCAGGAGACAGGCUUGAAGGGGCUUAGGAGACAGUG
This is a small nucleolar RNA of Cavia aperea (Brazilian guinea pig), 147 nucleotides long. Its record names the gene SNORA70. It matches the Rfam family "Small nucleolar RNA SNORA70". Rfam says of the family: snoRNA U70 seems to be exclusive to mammals and is a member of the H/ACA class of snoRNA which contain H (ANANNA) and ACA box motifs. H/ACA box snoRNAs are involved in the conversion of uridines to pseudouridines (5-ribosyluracil) a constituent of structural RNAs (transfer, ribosomal, small nuclear, and small nucleolar). The record is from Ensembl. Lineage: Eukaryota; Metazoa; Chordata; Mammalia; Rodentia; Caviidae.